CCCUUAGAUGUUCUGGGCCGCACGCGCGCUACACUGACGAAUGCAACGAGCUUAUAACCUUGGCCGAAAGGUCUGGGUAAUCUCCAAAUUUCGUCGUGAUGGGGAUAGAUUAUUGCAAUUAUUAAUCUUCAACGAGGAAUGCCUAUUAAGCGCAAGUCAUCAGCUUGCGUUGAUUACGUCCCUGCCCUUUGUACACACCGCCCGUCGCUCCUACCGAUUGAAUGGUCCGGUGAAGCGUUCGGACCGUGGCCUUUGGACGGUUCGCCGUCUGUUGGCUGCGGGAAGUUCGUUAAACCUUAUCAUUUAGAGGAAGGAGAAGUCGUAACA
Molecule: ribosomal RNA, 327 nt
Filed under: uncultured eukaryote
Lineage: Eukaryota
Description: partial 18S ribosomal RNA
Rfam family: Eukaryotic small subunit ribosomal RNA
Source: RNAcentral